Molecule: ribosomal RNA, 464 nt
Filed under: uncultured bacterium
Lineage: Bacteria
Description: partial 16S ribosomal RNA
Rfam family: Bacterial small subunit ribosomal RNA
Source: RNAcentral
CCUACGGGGAGCUGCAGUAGGGAAUCUUCCACAAUGGGCGAAAGCCUGAUGGAGCAACGCCGCGUGGGUGAAGCAGGUCUUCGGAUCGUAAAACCCUGUUGUUAGAGAAGAAAGUGCGUGAGAGUAACUGUUCACGUUUCGACGGUAUCUAACCAGAAAGCCACGGCUAACUACGUGCCAGCAGCCGCGGUAAUACGUAGGUGGCAAGCGUUAUCCGGAGUUAUUGGGCGUAAGGGGUGCGUAGGCGGAAGGUUAAGUCAGCGGUCAAAUGUCGGUGCGCAACACCGGCCUGCCGUUGAAACUGGUCUUCUUGAGUGAGCGAGAAGUAUGCGGAAUGCGUGGUGUAGCGGUGAAAUGCAUAGAUAUCACGCAGAACUCCGACGGCGAAGGCAGCAUACCGGCGCUCAACUGACGCUGAGGCACGAAAGCGUGGGGAUCGAACAGGAUUAGAUACCCCGGUAGUC